This 460-nucleotide ribosomal RNA is filed under the name uncultured bacterium. RNAcentral describes it as "partial 16S ribosomal RNA". It matches the Rfam family "Bacterial small subunit ribosomal RNA", at positions 338 to 795 of the family's 1533-position model. The record is from RNAcentral.
CCUACGGGCUGCAGCAGUGAGGAAUAUUGGUCAAUGGGCGGAAGCCUGAACCAGCCAAGUCGCGCGAGGGAAUAAGGCCCUACGGGUCGUAAACCUCUUUUGCCGGGGAGCAAGGGCCGGGACGAGUCCCGGUCCGGCGAGUACCCGGAGAAAAAGCAACGGCAAACUCCGUGCCAGCAGCCGCGGUAAUACGGGGGAUGCGAGCGUUAUCCGUAUUUAUUGGGUUUAAUGGGUGCGUAGGCGGGCUGUUAAGUCAGCGGUAAAAAUUCGGGGCGCAAACCCGUCCGGCCGUUGAAACUGGGGGCCUUGAGUGGGCGAGAAGAAGGCGGAAUGCGUGGUGUAGCGGUGAAAUGCAUAGAUAUCACGCAGAACCCCGAUUGCGAAGGCAGCCUUCCGGCGCCCUACUGACGCUGAGGCACGAAAGUGCGGGGAUCGAACAGGAUUAGAUACCCGAGUAGUC